CCGUGCUCGGCGGAGCUCCCGAGCCUGCGUCUUGCUGCCCCGUCGCAUGUUGCUUACUCGGAACCGUUUGGUCCCGGUGCAGCGGUGGCGGGCAUGUGAUCGCGGGCUCGGUUGUGGCCGUGUCGGCAUAUGAGUGGUUUUGGAUCCGAAUGUCCUGACGGGCUCCCUGCCUAUGUGCAGCCAACCGUCGCCGACGCGGUCCGUUCAUUUUCGUCGCCCGAGGAUCCUUUGAGUCUCGGUGCGUUGCUAAGUUGCCUGUGCGUAAAACCCCAUUUUAUGGGAACGACAUCUCGACCAUGCGCUCGACUCGCCCCAUCCUGCCUACAGGCACAGAGGGGCGGCACUACAUGCGAUCCUCAAGUUUCCCCCGGGAUGCGGGUGGUCAUGUUCGGCCGUCCGCACUCGGUGGGUGCUCGAGGCAUCGCAAGGACUUGCGGAAGCAGUGUAUGCGGAGAUCCCGUGGGCCGUGGCCUUCGGCCUCCUCUCGGUUGCGAUUCGGCUAUAAAAAAAAGUCGAUCCCGUUCGAAUGACUCUCGAGCCGCCGUAACCUCUCACCUCCCCUCCUGGGGAAGGCGCGGGGCACGACGACCGAUGUCAUCGAGGGCGUGC
Molecule: unclassified non-coding RNA, 609 nt
Filed under: Dianella lavarum
Lineage: Eukaryota; Viridiplantae; Streptophyta; Magnoliopsida; Asparagales; Asphodelaceae
Description: partial external transcribed spacer
Source: RNAcentral